CCUACGGGAGGCAGCAGUGGGGAAUAUUGGGCAAUGGAGGAAACUCUGACCCAGCGACGCCGCGUGCGGGAUGAAGGCCUUCGGGUUGUAAACCGCUUUCAGCAGGGAAGAAGCGAAAGUGACGGUACCUGCAGAAGAAGCACCGGCUAACUAUGUGCCAGCAGCCGCGGUAAUACAUAGGGUGCAAGCGUUGUCCGGAAUUAUUGGGCGUAAAGAGCUCGUAGGUGGUUCGUCACGUCGGAUGUGAAAAUCUGGGGCUUAACCCCAGACCUGCAUUCGAUACGGGCGAGCUUGAGUAUGGUAGGGGAGUCUGGAAUUCCUGGUGUAGCGGUGGAAUGCGCAGAUAUCAGGAGGAACACCAAUGGCGAAGGCAGGACUCUGGGCCAUUACUGACACUGAGGAGCGAAAGCGUGGGGAGCGAACAGGAUUAGAUACCCUGGUAGUCCACGCCGUAAACGGUGGGCACUAGUUGUGGGGACCUUCCACGGUCUCUGCGACGCNGCUACGCAUAGUGCCCGCCGUCGGGAGGUACGAGUCGCGAGAAGUUAAACGUAACGUAAUUAGAAGUUAGUUACGGCGUGAGACGUUGCCGACGGACGACGACGAGGGAGGAGG
RNAcentral lists this ribosomal RNA (615 nucleotides) under uncultured bacterium. RNAcentral's name for it is "bacterial SSU rRNA". The stretch from base 1 to 520 matches the Rfam family "Bacterial small subunit ribosomal RNA", at positions 338 to 873 of the family's 1533-position model. The record is from RNAcentral.